UACCAGCACCCCGAGUGGUCGGGACGAUUAUUGGGCCUAAAGCAUCCGUAGCCGGCCUUACAAGUCCUCCGUUAAAUCCAGCUGCUUAACAGAUGGGCUGCGGAGGAUACUAUAAGACUAGGAGGCAGGAGAGGCAAGCGGUACUCAGUGGGUAGGGGUAAAAUCCGUUGAUCCAUUGAAGACCACCAGUGGCGAAGGCGGCUUGCCAGAAUGCGCUCGACGGUGAGGGAUGAAAGCUGGGGGAGCA
Molecule: ribosomal RNA, 247 nt
Filed under: uncultured bacterium
Lineage: Bacteria
Description: partial 16S ribosomal RNA
Rfam family: Archaeal small subunit ribosomal RNA
Source: RNAcentral